GACGAACGCUGGCGGCGUGCUUAACACAUGCAAGUCGAACGGAAAGGCCCUGCUUUUGUGGGGUGCUCGAGUGGCGAACGGGUGAGUAACACGUGAGUAACCUGCCCUUGACUUUGGGAUAACUUCAGGAAACUGGGGUUACUACCGGAUAGGAGACCCUGCUGCAUGGUGGGGGUUGGAAAGUUUCGGCGGUUGGGGAUGGAUUCGCGGCUUACCAGCUUGUUGGUGGGGUAGUGGCUUACCAAGGCUUUGACGGGUAGCCGGCCUGUGAGGGUGACCGGCCACAUUGCGACUGAGGUACGGCCCAGACUCCUACGGGAGCCAGCAGUGGGGAAUAUUGCACAGUGGGCGGAAGCCUGUUGCAGCAACGCCGCGUGCGGGAUGACGGCCUUCGGGGUGUAAACCGCUUUCGCCUGUGACGAAGCGGGAGUGACGGUAAUGGGUAAAGAAGCACCGGCUAACUACGUG
RNAcentral lists this ribosomal RNA (468 nucleotides) under uncultured bacterium. RNAcentral describes it as "partial 16S ribosomal RNA". It matches the Rfam family "Bacterial small subunit ribosomal RNA", at positions 28 to 507 of the family's 1533-position model. The record is from RNAcentral.